UAGGUUUUACGCCGUCGCGGCUAACCUCAAUCGUGAAUUUCUGUUUGACAGCUCGCGUGCACUGUUUACAUAGACUUAGUCGCGUUCGAACGGAAAGUGCUGGGUAUCUUUUUUAUUCAAAAUCGGCUGAAAUUACAAAAGUCAAGUGGAAACCGAAGGCGAAGUGGGCGGCAAACUUGUCUACAUGCUCGCUGAACCCGAACGAAAACGAAGCCGUGCUGCUGACGGAGAUGGUCAAGCAAUGCCUUGUUCCGACGCUCUGCCUGGAAUGACCGAUCACCAAGGACAUGCAAGUCCCAGAAAACUACCGCACCGUCUUCCGACCGCUUAUGCUCCAGCUCCAGCUCCCGAGGACAUGGUCAAGUUCAAUCUCGAGCGCUGCAACCUCGCCCUCCUCCACCAGCAGAACACCGGCAGACUCUUCAUCGUCCUGUUUGAGAAGAAAAAGAAGCUGCUCUCGGAGGUUUUCCGUUGUCGAUUCUUGACGUGGGCCUGACGGAAAAGGACAGUUUGUCCUUGGUUCAAAUUAGUACGAACUGGUAGUUCGGUUCAACAAACAACUGGUCUCCGGCACCUUGCAACGAAGGUGCUUCAAUCUACAACUAGAGAAGUGAUCCUGGUUUCGAGUUUAAUUGAUGGACAGUGGAAUUUUAAAAUCCUGUUUGGCUUUUAUUUUAAUCAGACGUUAUUAUUUCUGACAUAUAAAAUCAAACUUGUUUUUUA
Long non-coding RNA from Culex quinquefasciatus (southern house mosquito), 723 nucleotides. RefSeq lists it as uncharacterized. The transcript has 2 exons. The record is from RefSeq and is a predicted model, not a curated record. Lineage: Eukaryota; Metazoa; Arthropoda; Insecta; Diptera; Culicidae.